ACCCAGACUCCUACGGGAGGCAGCAGUGGGGAAUAUUGGGCAAUGGGCGCAAGCCUGACCCAGCAACGCCGCGUGAAGGAAGAAGGCUUUCGGGUUGUAAACUUCUUUUCUCAGGGACGAAGCAAGUGACGGUACCUGAGGAAUAAGCCACGGCUAACUACGUGCCAGCAGCCGCGGUAAUACGUAGGUGGCAAGCGUUAUCCGGAUUUACUGGGUGUAAAGGGCGUGUAGGCGGGGACGCAAGUCAGAUGUGAAAACCACGGGCUCAACCUGGAGACUGCACCUGAAACUGGGUGUCUUGAGGGCAGGAGAGGAAAGUGGGAUUCCUAGUGUAGCGGUGAAAUGCGUAGAUAUUAGGAGGAACACCAGUGGCGAAGGCGACUUUCUGGACUGUACCUGACGCUGAGGCGCGAAAGCGUGGGUAGCAAACAGGAUUAGAUACCCGCGUAGUA
Molecule: ribosomal RNA, 452 nt
Filed under: uncultured bacterium
Lineage: Bacteria
Description: bacterial SSU rRNA
Rfam family: Bacterial small subunit ribosomal RNA
Source: RNAcentral